This 203-nucleotide ribosomal RNA is filed under the name uncultured bacterium. RNAcentral's name for it is "partial 16S ribosomal RNA". It matches the Rfam family "Bacterial small subunit ribosomal RNA", at positions 28 to 232 of the family's 1533-position model. The record is from RNAcentral.
GACGAACGCUGGCGGCGUGCUUAACACAUGCAAGUCGAGCGGUAAGGCCCUUUCGGGGGUACACGAGCGGCGAACGGGUGAGUAACACGUGGGUGACCUGCCCUCAGCUCUGGGAUAAGCCUGGGAAACCGGGUCUAAUACUGGAUAUGACUCCAUGACGCAUGUUGUGGGGUGGAAAGCCUUGUGCGGCUGAGGAUGGGCCC